GCCAGCUCCGGCUGGGACAAGGGCCUGAACAACUGGAAACCCUGAUUUCGUCUCCACCCUAGCCCCUUUCUUGGGCAACACCCCCUGCACCAUCAGAGUUGCCUUCUCUGAAUGACUCUGCCUGAGGGAAGUAACCCAGGCUGGGCAGGGAGGGGUUAACGGGGCUACCCGACUCCGCGUGAGAGCCAGAUCUGGCUUAGCAGUUGCUGGCGCAAGCUAUGCUCAGGUGGGGAUGGGUGAAGAAGGACUUUGGAGACAGAGUACUGCUCCCGAAAGAAUAGCACUUGCGGAGGUAGCUCUCUGGCCCAGUGGAAAAAUGGCAUAUCUGGACUGUGGACCAAUCCCCAAGCCCGGCGUAGUGCCAGUCCAGUGAGGCCUCAAACCUGCCCUGUGACUUCGAGCAAGCUGAUGGCCUUUCCUGGGGCUCAUGUUCUCCAUCUGUCAAGACCCAUAACCGACUCUAACUGCUAGGGCAUUCGGAACUUGAAGUCCCAGAUCAGGAGAUGGGUUUACAAGACAUGCCGCUGAGGUAAGAGAAGCCUAACGUUCCCGUCUUUUGGGCAGAAUCCCACAGCCUCGGGACCCCGUCUGCUUUGUCUGCUGGGACUGGGGUCCUGCCUCAUGGGGUGCCUACACCCUGGGGUCCUGCCUC
RNAcentral lists this long non-coding RNA (652 nucleotides) under Ursus maritimus (polar bear). RNAcentral's name for it is "lncRNA (ENSUMAG00000000912.1)". Lineage: Eukaryota; Metazoa; Chordata; Mammalia; Carnivora; Ursidae. The record is from RNAcentral.